AUCUGUUCCCUCUUUUUCUCUCAUUUCUACCUCCCCCCACCCCCGGUGCCCUUGAGUUGCUUAGUUUGCUUUUUAUCAAUGUCUAUUGCAUCUGUUGAGCCCCCUCUCCUGUAUUUUUUUCACCUGCUUUCCACUUAUUCUGUGCCCUUUUCCCAGCUUCCCUCAGAUGUACACCAUAUGUGAGAUAAAGAACAUAGGGUCCUCUAAAUACUACAAGACUAAUUGAGAAGAGGUCCUUUGUUUCCUUAUCUUUGGAGUUCUUUUCAGUCUGUAUAUUAUUUUAGGUACAUAUGAAGUAGUGCUUGGGUCUUAGUUUUUGGUUGAUUUCUCCCAAGACUGUCGUUUUUCGGUCUUACUGUGUAUUGCUUUCGUCCUGCUUGCU
Perognathus longimembris pacificus (Pacific pocket mouse) is the source of this 382-nucleotide long non-coding RNA. RefSeq lists it as uncharacterized. The record is from RefSeq and is a predicted model, not a curated record. The transcript is spliced from 3 exons. NCBI's taxonomy places the organism in Eukaryota, Metazoa, Chordata, Mammalia, Rodentia, Heteromyidae.